This 261-nucleotide ribosomal RNA is filed under the name uncultured archaeon. Its description in RNAcentral is "partial 16S ribosomal RNA". It matches the Rfam family "Archaeal small subunit ribosomal RNA", at positions 748 to 1009 of the family's 1478-position model. The record is from RNAcentral.
CAGCCGUAAACUAUGCUCGCUAGGUGUCAGGGACGGUGCGACCGUUUCUGGUGCCGCAGGGAAGCCGUGAAGCGAGCCACCUGGGAAGUACGGUCGCAAGGCUGAAACUUAAAGGAAUUGGCGGGGGAGCACUACAACGGGUGGAGCCUGCGGUUUAAUUGGACUCAACGCCGGAAAACUCACCGGGGGCGACAGCAAUAUGUAGGUCAAGCUAAAGACCUUGCCUGAAUCGCUGAGAGGAGGUGCAUGGCGUAGACGUCU